UGAUGCUGGUGUCAGGAGGAGCAGGAGGUGAAAGGCUUCAGCAGAGGAGAGCAGGCAGAUGGCUGACAGUGAGAGGUGAGCAGAGCUGGAAGGAGGGAGGACAGAUGGACUGUGUGGUCAGAGGUGGAUGAAGAGGGGAGAUCAUACGGUCAAAUUCAGUGCAAAGCAGCUGCUGUGUUCAGUCAACAUGAUGAUGCUGCUCAUCUUCAUCACAUGUUGUCCGCUCCAGCUGUGUGAGCAGAGCAGCAGCAGAGAUGGAGGCUGAUGAUGGUCUGGAUCAUCAGGUUUCUUUGGCUGUGCGAUGGAGAGCCACUCCUUACUAAACCACAACCUGGAGAGGGCGUCCGUCCAGCUUCAGGAUCGCCUGGCAUGAGUUUGUGGAGGGCCUGGGCUUUUGGAGGGUCCCGCUGCUGCUGCUGGUGGUCAUCACCCUCCUCUCCCUGGGCAACACCUACUCUGUGACCGAGGCUCUCACACAUUGUCAUUUCAUCCCUGUUUGCUCUGUGACAAGCUGUGUAUUGCUAAUGUUUUGUAUCUUUGAUUUUCUCUUCACUUGUUAUUUAUUCAAAUGUCUUCUGCAUGAAUUUUCCCCUUGCUGUCUUUAUUUUAUACAAAUACCUGCAGCAUUUAUUUAGAGAGCGUCUCAGUCUGACUGGAAACAGUUCUGACUUUAUUCAUCAAAUGUUUGAAGUAAUUUAAUGUGCAAAAUGAAUAAAAUCAUGUAUGAAUGACUGUAAUCUUAAUCAGGGGAGAGUCACUUUAUCAACUUUAUGGACACAGUUUCUGUGCCCCCC
Archocentrus centrarchus (flier cichlid) is the source of this 794-nucleotide long non-coding RNA. RefSeq lists it as uncharacterized. Lineage: Eukaryota; Metazoa; Chordata; Actinopteri; Cichliformes; Cichlidae. The transcript has 3 exons. The record is from RefSeq and is a predicted model, not a curated record.